AUUAGUUUGAUCAUGGCUCAGCCUUUGACUUAAAAAAAUGAAAGUCGUAAUAAGGUAACCGUAGGUCGUAACAAGGUAACCGUAGAGUUUGAUCAUGGCUCAGGAAGUCGUAACAAGGUAACCGUAAGUCGUAACAAGGUAGUCGUAGAGUUUGAUCAUGGCUCAGGAUAAGUCGUAACAAGGUAGCCGUAAGUCGUAACAAGGUAACCGUAGAGUUUGAUCAUGGCUCAGCCUUUGACUUAAAAAAAUGGAGAAGUCGUAACAAGGUAACCGUAAGUCGUAACAAGGA
RNAcentral lists this ribosomal RNA (289 nucleotides) under uncultured bacterium. RNAcentral's name for it is "partial 16S ribosomal RNA". The record is from RNAcentral.